This 72-nucleotide transfer RNA is filed under the name Phrynosoma platyrhinos (Desert horned lizard). RNAcentral's name for it is "tRNA-OTHER". Lineage: Eukaryota; Metazoa; Chordata; Lepidosauria; Squamata; Phrynosomatidae. The record is from RNAcentral.
GCCAGUGUGGUGUAGUGGUUUGAGUGUUGGACUGGGACUCUGGAGACCAGGGUUCAAAUCCCAGAUCAGUCA